UACGUAGGGUGCAAGCGUUAAUCGGAAUUACUGGGCGUAAAGCGCACGCAGGCGGCGCAUUAAGUCUGACGUGAAAUCUCCUGGCUUAACUGGGAGGGGUCGUUGGAGACUGAUGUGCUUGAGGCGAUGAGAGGGGUGUAGAAUUCCCGGUGUAGUGGUGGAAUGCGUAGAUAUCGGGAGGAAUACCAGUGGCGAAAGCGACACCCUGGCAUUAGCCUGACGCUCAUGUGCGAAGGCGUGGGGAGCGAACGGG
This 253-nucleotide ribosomal RNA is filed under the name uncultured bacterium. RNAcentral describes it as "partial 16S ribosomal RNA". It matches the Rfam family "Bacterial small subunit ribosomal RNA", at positions 524 to 776 of the family's 1533-position model. The record is from RNAcentral.